AAACGCGGCGGACUGUAAAUCCGCUCCUUCGGGUUCGGCAGUUCGAAUCUGCCCCCCUCCA
Molecule: transfer RNA, 61 nt
Filed under: Priestia aryabhattai B8W22
Lineage: Bacteria; Bacillati; Bacillota; Bacilli; Caryophanales; Bacillaceae
Description: tRNA_Tyr_GTA
Rfam family: tRNA
About the family: Transfer RNA (tRNA) molecules are approximately 80 nucleotides in length. Their secondary structure includes four short double-helical elements and three loops (D, anti-codon, and T loops).
Source: RNAcentral